ACCGAGACUAGAGUCACAUCCUGACACCGUUGGUUGUCUUGGCGUGCUAGAGUCCUCGCAGAGAAUCCCCCUGCUCUUUAUUCACCGGCCGAGGGCCGUCCCGUGCCUCGGCCGGUCACCGGAUCGGGAACAUCG
This is a small nucleolar RNA of Ornithorhynchus anatinus (platypus), 135 nucleotides long. RefSeq annotates it as small nucleolar RNA SNORA3/SNORA45 family. The record is from RefSeq and is a predicted model, not a curated record. Lineage: Eukaryota; Metazoa; Chordata; Mammalia; Monotremata; Ornithorhynchidae. The transcript has a single exon.